GAUCUUUAUCUACUUAGGGUAAUACGGAUUCCUAACUACCACUGUGGAAUGACCAAAUUCAUUUCAUUUUCAGAACAUUUAUAGCUUGCUAAACUACAACACAUUUACAGCUUGCGAAACCAUGACACAUUCUAUGACCACAACUGUGUCAGCUACAAUAGUCCUACAUAUAAACUAUAGUCACAAUUAUACGUCUCCAAGAUGACCCCUAAAAUCAUAUUGUGUAACCACUCUCGUCAUAAAAUACGCCAUCAUCCAUAAGGAGCGAUUCUCUCACGUCUUUUCACACCAGAUGGGAGAGAAACAAAAUCCCUCAAAGACAAAAGCUCUAACGAAUUUAAUUUUAAUACCAUGUAUGCAAAUGUCGAUAUUCAUUUUCACAUGUUCAUCAAAUAACAUUAUGCUUCUUACAUCAUCUCUUAUCAUAUUU
Molecule: long non-coding RNA, 430 nt
Filed under: Carica papaya (papaya)
Lineage: Eukaryota; Viridiplantae; Streptophyta; Magnoliopsida; Brassicales; Caricaceae
Description: long non-coding RNA (CPAP_LNC002154)
Source: RNAcentral